This 439-nucleotide ribosomal RNA is filed under the name uncultured bacterium. RNAcentral describes it as "partial 16S ribosomal RNA". It matches the Rfam family "Bacterial small subunit ribosomal RNA", at positions 339 to 795 of the family's 1533-position model. The record is from RNAcentral.
CUACGGGCUGCACCAGUGGGGAAUAUUGCACAAUGGAGGAAACUCUGAUGCAGCAACGCCGCGUGGAGGAUGACACUUUUCGGAGCGUAAACUCCUUUUAUAUAGGAAGAAGAUGACGGUACUAUAUGAAUAAGCGCCGGCUAACUCCGUGCCAGCAGCCGCGGUAAUACGGAGGGCGCAAGCGUUACUCGGAAUCACUGGGCGUAAAGAGCGUGUAGGCGGAUUAAAAAGUCAGAAGUGAAAUCCUAUAGCUUAACUAUAGAACUGCUUCUGAAACUCUUAAUCUAGAAUAUGGGAGAGGUAGAUGGAAUUACUGGUGUAGGGGUAAAAUCCGUAGAGAUCAGAAGGAAUACCGAUUGCGAAGGCGAUCUACUAGAACAUUAUUGACGCUGAGACGCGAAAGCGUGGGGAGCAAACAGGAUUAGAUACCCGAGUAGUC